Neogobius melanostomus (round goby) is the source of this 120-nucleotide ribosomal RNA. Lineage: Eukaryota; Metazoa; Chordata; Actinopteri; Gobiiformes; Gobiidae. The record is from Ensembl.
CACUGUGGCCACACCGCCUUUGCUCUGCCCGAUCCCAUCAGAUCUCGGAAGCUAAGCAAGGACGGGCCUGGUUGGUACUUGGAUGGGAGACCGUUUGGGAACACCAGGAAGCCUGGGUGA